GGUUUUAGUUUCAUCAUAAAAUGCACAAAAAUGAGAGAAUACUUCAAAUCGAAUUUUCAUAAAAUAAAUUCAUGUCAUUCAAGAAAAAUCGCCCACAAAAGUAAUAAAGUAUCUAAACCCAUUUUUGGACACAACAGGACAUGGUCCCCAAACAUCAGAAUGAACCAACUCAAAAGUAGACUUAGCCCAUUUAUUAAUUCUCGGACCUAACGAGCUACGGUGAUGUUUUGUAAAGUGACAUGACUCACAAUCUAGUGAAGAUACGUCAUCAAACUGAGGGCAUAGUUUCUUCAAUGCAGACAGAGAUGGAUGUCCCUAUCGACAAUGUGCUAUGACUGGGGAGAUUGUACUGGAACAAGCAACAGAUCGAGGCACCCACUUAUUAAGAAUAUAAAGACCAUCAGAUAUAUGUCCUUUACCAAUAAUCUACUUCAUCAUGACAUCCUGAAAAAGGCAAUGAUCAGAAAGAAUGAGAUAUAAUAGUUAAGAUCAUUG
RNAcentral lists this long non-coding RNA (495 nucleotides) under Olea europaea subsp. europaea. Lineage: Eukaryota; Viridiplantae; Streptophyta; Magnoliopsida; Lamiales; Oleaceae. The record is from RNAcentral.